This 242-nucleotide ribosomal RNA is filed under the name uncultured Pseudomonas sp. RNAcentral describes it as "partial 16S ribosomal RNA". It matches the Rfam family "Bacterial small subunit ribosomal RNA", at positions 1141 to 1382 of the family's 1533-position model. The record is from RNAcentral. Lineage: Bacteria; Pseudomonadati; Pseudomonadota; Gammaproteobacteria; Pseudomonadales; Pseudomonadaceae.
UAGGAGGACUGCCGGUGACAAACCGGAGGAAGGUGGGGAUGACGUCAAGUCAUCAUGGCCCUUACGGCCUGGGCUACACACGUGCUACAAUGGUCGGUACAAAGGGUUGCCAAGCCGCGAGGUGGAGCUAAUCCCAUAAAACCGAUCGUAGUCCGGAUCGCAGUCUGCAACUCGACUGCGUGAAGUCGGAAUCGCUAGUAAUCGUGAAUCAGAAUGUCACGGUGAAUACGUUCCCGGGCCUU